GUUCUAAUAGCUGCAAUAUAAAGGGCCAUGCAGUGAGCUCUGCACUUGAUGCUGUGUGUGUGUGUGUGUGUGUGUGUGUGUGUUUGUGUGGGUGUGUAUGUGUGGGUGUAUGGGUGUAUAUACAUGUAUAUGUUCAUGUGUGAGUGCUUUUAAUAUGCACACAAAUGUGCACAUAUAUGAAUGUAAAUGACAGAACAGAGGUCCAUACUGGACAUCUUCCUCUGUCUCCCUCUACUUUCUUUGAGACAGGGUCUCUCACUGAAGCUGAAGCUCCCUGACUGGGCAUGCCUAGCUGGGUCCUACCAGGCCACCGAUAAGCCACAUAUUUCCUUCUGUCUGAACCUCCCUAUGUUAGGAUUACAGACAAGCACCACUGGGCUCUUCAACAUAUAUGAAAUUGGCCUGAUUCUCUUCCUUCAUCUUCCAGGAAAGCCAUGCUAAGAAAAUAGCACCUGGUACUAUACAAAGAAAUAAGAUAUUUCCAACUGGAUGAGGUAGGUAGACCCCAAAGAGCAAAAGGAACAUAUGACAAUAAUGAUACCAGUGACACUUUCAAAUGUGUCCACAGCAGAGCUAAGAUGUGAAAGGGCACUAUGCCAAUAGCAGUGACUUGAAGGCAAGGUGGCCAUGUUUGUUGAUUGGUUUUUAAAAUGCACAACCUACCCCUGUUGAUAAGCUAUCAUAUAGGGACAGUAGCCAGGAGCAAUGAUACAAGACAGAGAGUGACUUGUAGAGACAACCCCUUAUCCCCAUCCUACUGGAGAAAAUAAAGUUGUUGAGGAACAACUUUGGAAGAAGUAUUGAGAGCAGAGACAGAGUAAAAGAGAGGGAAGAAUGGGCUAUUGUCUGGGUCUUAGGCAAAUCUGUCAAGGAGAGAGGGACCUGAGUGUGUGUGUGUGUGGGGGGGGACUUGGGGUCAUUGUUGAGGACAGUAAAGCACUUAUCACAUAAUCCUGUCUCAUCCUGGGGAAGGAGUGUUCACGUGAGACAGAGGACUCUGGAAAUGUCUGGUUAGCAUGAAAAGACUGAUGACCAGGAUGAGAGAGACCGCAGACAUUUGAAUGAGGCAGUAGACCUGUCCCAUUUCAGAGGAUAGAACCAGGUCCUAAUUCCACCAGGAGAUCUCCCCCAGCAUGGAAAUUUCCAGUAACUAAUACUGUCCUGCAGUAGGUUCUCACUCGUCCUGGCUUCCAUCACCUGCCAAGGAUAUUAUUCAGGAGAUUUGGAACACUUUGUGGGCUGACUUCUUCAAUCCCUCCUGAUAUUAAGGCUUUAUAAGCAUGUAAUGUGUGAGGUGUCCCAACCAGAAGAAAGCCAGUCUCACCUUUCCCACACGUCUUCCUACAUUCUGCUACCAGGAUACUGACUAAUAGUUUUCAAUGAGAUCUAUGCAGGUCAGGAAUUGAGAAGACAAUGUCUUUAUUUCUUGGAGGAUUCUCUUAGGGUUGGCAGAAGCCAUGUACUAGCUCUAGAGCAAGGCUCAUGAUCUAUGUAGCAGACAGGAUGUGGAUAUGGGUGUGCUCACUAUAGAGAGGGUUUCCUUCUGUGUUCAUGUCAUUUUUCCUCAAUGUGGAUUCAGAUCAGACCCUAGCUGGGUGACUAGAGGACCCUCUGUUCUCACAGGAUUUGGGGGCCUCUUAUGUGUUCUGUACUCAUGAGCAUCAUUUGUAUCCUGUAUCUUCUUUUCUUAUGCUUCCUGCAUAGGAAUUGGCUCUUUCUUUCAAGGAACCUAUUAUUCUAUUUUGGUAGUUCUCAUUUGGGGAUGGUUUUGCCUCUCAGGGCAUAUUUGACAGUGUCCAGAGGCAUCUUGAUUGUCGUGACUGGAAUGGGGGUGUUGCUGGCAUCUGGUGGAGAGCCAGGAUGCUGCACAAAGUCUGACUCUUAGGACAGCCCUUCACAGCAAAGAAUUAUCAAGCCCAAAAUGUCAAUAUUCCUCAGGCUGAGAAACUCUGGUCUAUUUUUGUCUCCCUUAGAAAUCAGCUGCCAUCAAUGCAUUCUGUAAAACCUCAGAUGCCUCCUCUUAUUUCCUAAGUUAAGAAUGGUUGCCUGGCUGUUCUGCCUCUUUGAACUGCACACCCACCCACCCCUUUUUCAUGCUGAAGCAAUAAGGGACAUAUUUAACUCUCAUUGGCCAGAAAAAUCGCUUCUUGGUUCGGGUCCAAACAAGAACCAGAUCUCUCCUUGGGUGAAGGCAGAGAUGUCACAGCUUGCUGAGAAACAUCACAGGGCAUUUCCUCGUGGCAGCUGCCCUGGGCCAAGGAACUGGUAGAGGACAAGCCCCAGAUGCCUCAGUGUGUGCCCUUCACUUGCUUUUGAGUAAGGUCUUUCAAGAAUUGAACAAUGGGACUCAACCAUGAAGGGUUCCUGCUUCCUUUCCAAGCCACAGGGAGACCAAGGCUAUAACUCUCAUUCACAAGCAACUUCAGCUCGCACUCUGGCUAGGUUUCUCCUACUCGCCUGGCCUUCUGAGAAGUCACACAGAGCACAUGCCUACUUAUGCUGUAUCCCAAACUAGGCUGCGGUUUUCAUUAAGUUAGAUCGUGAGUUACCCUUUAGUGCUUCCUCUAAGUCCUCCACCCAUGAAGCAGCCUGAUGGAAGUCCCCCUUGGUAGGCCAUGGCUUAGCAUCGGGAGGUGGUCUUAUACAGACAGCCCAGGGUGAAGCCCCCCUUCUUAAACCUUACAUCUACAGGCUGGGCAGCCUUAGGGAAUUCUUUCAAAUUCUUAGACCAUAGGUUUUUGCCUUGAUCUCAGUGAAAUGGCUAAGUGACAGACCUUAGAUUUCCUAAUCUCCAAAAAUGAAGACAGAUACCUUUUCCUUGCUGGAAAUCUAUUAAAAAAC
This 2841-nucleotide long non-coding RNA is filed under the name Mus musculus (house mouse). RNAcentral describes it as "long non-coding RNA chr4:100356220-100359061". The record is from RNAcentral. Lineage: Eukaryota; Metazoa; Chordata; Mammalia; Rodentia; Muridae.